GUUAAACGCUGGCGGCAUGCCUUACACAUGCAAGUCGAACGGCAGCACGGGGGCAACCCUGGUGGCGAGUGGCGAACGGGUGAGUAAAGCAUCGGAACGUGCCCUGGAGUGGGGGAUAACGUAGCGAAAGUUACGCUAAUACCGCAUAUUCUGUGAGCAGGAAAGCAGGGGAUCGCAAGACCUUGCGCUCUGGGAGCGGCCGAUGUCGGAUUAGCUAGUUGGUGGGGUAAAGGCCUACCAAGGCGACGAUCCGUAGCGGGUCUGAGAGGAUGAUCCGCCACACUGGGACUGAGACACGGCCCAGACUCCUACGGGAGGCAGCAGUGGGGAAUUUUGGACAAUGGGCGAAAGCCUGAUCCAGCCAUGCCGCGUGAGUGAAGAAGGCCUUCGG
This 391-nucleotide ribosomal RNA is filed under the name uncultured bacterium. Its description in RNAcentral is "bacterial SSU rRNA". It matches the Rfam family "Bacterial small subunit ribosomal RNA", at positions 28 to 421 of the family's 1533-position model. The record is from RNAcentral.